This 530-nucleotide ribosomal RNA is filed under the name uncultured fungus. Its description in RNAcentral is "SSU rRNA". It matches the Rfam family "Eukaryotic small subunit ribosomal RNA", at positions 569 to 1099 of the family's 1831-position model. The record is from RNAcentral. Lineage: Eukaryota; Fungi.
AGCAGCCGCGGUAAUUCCAGCUCCAAUAGCGUAUAUUAAAGUUGCUGCAGUUAAAAAGCUCGUAGUUGAAUUUCGGGAUCAAUUUACUGGUCGUGCCUACGGUACGUACUGGUAUUGUUGGUUCCUCCUUUCUGAGGAGCCGCGAUGUCAUUAACUUGGUGUCGCGGGGAAUCAGGACUGUUACUUUGAAAAAAUUAGAGUGUUUAAAGCAGGCUAACGCUUGAAUACAUUAGCAUGGAAUAAUGAAAUAGGACGUUUGAUCCUAUUUUGUUGGUUUCUAGGGUCGACGUAAUGAUUAAUAGGGAUAGUUGGGGGCAUUAGUAUUCAAUUGUCAGAGGUGAAAUUCUUGGAUUUAUUGAAGACUAACUACUGCGAAAGCAUUUGCCAAGGAUGUUUUCAUUAAUCAAGAACGAAAGUUAGGGGAUCGAAGACGAUCAGAUACCGUCGUAGUCUUAACCAUAAACUAUGCCGACUAGGGAUCGGAUGAUGUUAAUUUUUUAAUGACUCAUUCGGCGCCUUACGGGAAAACC